GCCUUUGUGGUCUUUUCGUGCGUACCCUGACCUCAUACGCGGAUGUUUUAUGCUUGUAUGAGGGAGCAAAACUCACGUAAACAUCCGCGGGCCUUGGUGACCUGUGUUUGUCGUCACCACUUCUUUACCAAAGGGCUGUAGUUCCGCAACAGUUCGAUCUCAAAGUCUGUCGGCGAAAGGCGAGGCGCGCAGGGUUCUUCGUGAUGAGCCGUCGGCAGAAUGGCGGCUCCAAGUCUGCCAACCCAGAGCAGCAGCUGCGUCAGGAGGCGGCCAUCUUUCUAUCCCCUGACGUGGAGCACGAGUUAGCCCAAAUUCUUCAGCGGCGUGAGAGUAUCGAAAGGGCUCUGCAGCGCAUGGACGUGGAGGUGUACGACUUGGAGACCGCAUUCCUGAAGCAUUGCGUGUCGCAUGGCGGCUCACUCUUCGACGGCUUCGGCCUGGAGCGCCGCGAUAAUGCGCACCGAAACCCUGUUGCCGUCCUAACACCAGUGGCGACCUGUGCGUCUUCGAUUGGAGGAGGAGGAAGUGCGAUUGCGCCACUCAGCUUUGAGGCCACUCCGGGCUCGUCACCAAGCUCUCUGCUGCUCCCCACCGUCGCCAACGGCGAGCACGCGCGCACGUAUCGUGUCCUUUCCAGCUUUUUCGGUGCCGGUGGGGCUAGUGGAGGAAGCAACGGCAGCGCAGCCACAGAUCUGGCUGUCGCCUCGCACUCUCCGACGUCACUGAAAGCCGCUGGCAGCGUUGCAUCACCUUCCGCAGCCGCACCCGUCUUUCAGGUCGGCAGCAAAGGGUCGACGGCACCCGCGUUUCACUACCGCAUCCACUUUUUCAGCCCCAGCGAGCGUGUGUUCUCAGCGUGCUCUGUCGGGGCGCUGAGUCGAGUGGAGAUUGCCAAGUCGACCCUUGCCGGAUCGAGGGGUGAGCCGACCUCCUCGACGUGGUCGACAACGGCUGCUGCAGCAGGGCGCGGCAAAGGCUUGGGAAAACGCGGCCGUUUUAGUAGUGGCGGGGACGAGCUCAGAGGCGGCAGGAGUGGUACCGCAUCGCUCUCGAGUGAAUUGGACAGGCGUUUGAAUGCGCCACCGUCGCGGCGACAUCAACGAUACGCGAAGGAAGAAGAUGAUGCCGAUGAUGACGAUGCUUCAGAGAACGGCAGCGGCGAUCGUCGCCGUCGACGUCGCCAGACCGAGUAGCCGACAGGCGGCCGCUAAGACACUCUCUCUAUAUAUCACGAUCUAUGUAGAGGGGCGUGUGUUGUUGUUUUGGUCGAUGCAAGGCGUCUUCACGGCUGUACGAGGUGCUGGCCAGCGACAGGAGAUGCAAGGGCGAUUCUCUACGUCAGCUGCAACGACAGCAGCGAACCAAAGGUGGCUGCGCAUCCAAGUGCUUGUUUCUCUAUCUGUCUCUCUGUGU
RNAcentral lists this unclassified non-coding RNA (1413 nucleotides) under Leishmania donovani. Its description in RNAcentral is "gene:LdHU3.26.2330(CDS-product:Histone_acetyltran sferase_subunit_NuA4_putative)". The record is from RNAcentral. Lineage: Eukaryota; Euglenozoa; Kinetoplastea; Trypanosomatida; Trypanosomatidae.